GACGUAGGGCGCGAGCGUUGUCCGGAUUUAUUGGGCGUAAAGAGCUCGUAGGCGGCUUGUCGCGUCGACUGUGAAAACCCGCGGCUCAACUGCGGGCCUGCAGUCGAUACGGGCAGGCUAGAGUUCGGUAGGGGAGACUGGAAUUCCUGGUGUAGCGGUGAAAUGCGCAGAUAUCAGGAGGAACACCGGUGGCGAAGGCGGGUCUCUGGGCUAGUAACUGACGCUGA
This 227-nucleotide ribosomal RNA is filed under the name uncultured bacterium. Its description in RNAcentral is "partial 16S ribosomal RNA". It matches the Rfam family "Bacterial small subunit ribosomal RNA", at positions 524 to 749 of the family's 1533-position model. The record is from RNAcentral.